GUUUCCGUAGUGUAGUGGUCAUCACGUGCAUCUAAAACGCGCAAGUUCCAAGUUCGAUCCUGGGCGGAAACA
Molecule: non-coding RNA, 72 nt
Organism: Paramuricea clavata
Lineage: Eukaryota; Metazoa; Cnidaria; Anthozoa; Malacalcyonacea; Plexauridae
Source: the annotation of a GenBank genome assembly